Molecule: long non-coding RNA, 1222 nt
Organism: Eurytemora carolleeae
Lineage: Eukaryota; Metazoa; Arthropoda; Copepoda; Calanoida; Temoridae
Exons: 3
Source: RefSeq, a predicted model, not a curated record
CAUUUAUGUAAGAUCUGUGGAUCUUUAUAAACUAAUGCGUGUUCAGGGUGUUCAACGUCGAGAAGUUCUCCAGCUCGUCCUACAGAGAACCCCUAUCUUCAAGCAACUAAUCCUACAAAUCUCUACAAAUACAUUGAAUCUACCAUUAUUUAUCUUACCAUUCAAACUACCAAUCUAAGAUUUUUAUGUAAACCUUUUCUAAAGCCUAUUUUAUAUUCUCGAAAUUGAGUCUAAUUUUCUAAUAUCAUACAUAUCUUUAAAUAGAACUGUCAAUAAGUUUUAAAAAUGCUUGAAAGUCUAGCCACUUUAGUUUUAAUAAUUGGUCUUGUCUUUCAGACCAAGAUGGGUUAGUUGUACUUUUCUAACUUGUUUUCGUCCUCUUUCUCCAGAUUUGUUGUGAUAAUUGUAAUUCUUCCCUCAAAAGCUCCGUGCAUGCCUCCACGCACUGAACCAGGCUGGCUUUGAGUUCCUGUUGAUCUAGAGCUUUAUCCUCUCCGCUGACUCGCGGAGCUAAACCUAUUUGCAUCCUUGGUCUCAGGGAUGAAGAUGCUCUACUCUCCUUUCACCUACUAAUCUUGACACCCUGUGCCUUGGGUAGGUCAUGAGUUCUCUGCGUAUACAAGACUCCAGUCUCAACGGAGUCCGAGUGCUCCUGUGUCUUUGGACACUUGGUUGAGUUCUCUACAAACAAGACUCCGAUCUCAACAGAGUCCGAGUGUUCCUGUGUCUUUGGACGCUUGGUUUGAGUUCUCUACGUAUACAAGACUCCGAUCUCAACGGAGUCCGAGUGUUCCUGUGUCUUUGGACGCUUGGUUUGAGUUCUCUACGUUUCCUCUGAUAGUAUCCUAGAGACGUCUCCAUCCCUACGUACCAGACCUCCUACAACCUUGGCUUGGCUGUUCUCACUUCUCCGGCAUCUCCGAUAGAAGGAAUCUAUCCUCUCCGACAUCUCUGACAGAAGGACCUCACUCUGUAUCCCUGAUCAAAGCUCCUCUAGAUCAAAUGCAGUUCUUGUAAUCGAGACUGUGGUGCAUUCUAAACACUAUAGGCUACAAACCUCCGGACAAAUCAACAUUGUAAGUGAAUUUUUCUAUUUAUUUAAAAUUAAACAUUUGUUAUAUAAAAUUGAAUGUUUUACCUGGAGAAAGUUUUAUUUUUAUUUUAUUUUAUCGUAAAAUUAAUUAACCCUGGACUGAUUUGUUGUGUUUUAGUUCACGGUUGA